UAGCCGCGGUAAUACGUAGGGUGCAAGCGUUAAUCGGAAUUACUGGGCGUAAAGCGUGCGCAGGCGGUUAUAUAAGACAGUCGUGAAAUCCCCGGGCUCAACCUGGGAACUGCGAUUGUGACUGUAUGGCUAGAGUGUGUCAGAGGGGGGUAGAAUUCCACGUGUAGCAGUGAAAUGCGUAGAUAUGUGGAGGAAUACCGAUGGCGAAGGCAGCCCCCUGGGAUAACACUGACGCUCAUGCACGAAAGCGUGGGGAGCAAACAGGAUUAGAUACCCCCGUAGUCCCUGUCUCUUAUACACC
Molecule: ribosomal RNA, 301 nt
Filed under: uncultured bacterium
Lineage: Bacteria
Description: partial 16S ribosomal RNA
Rfam family: Bacterial small subunit ribosomal RNA
Source: RNAcentral